Molecule: ribosomal RNA, 783 nt
Filed under: Lactococcus lactis
Lineage: Bacteria; Bacillati; Bacillota; Bacilli; Lactobacillales; Streptococcaceae
Description: bacterial SSU rRNA
Rfam family: Bacterial small subunit ribosomal RNA
Source: RNAcentral
CUCAGGACGAACGCUGGCGGCGUGCGUAAUACAUGCAAGUUGAGCGCUGAAGGUUGGUACUUGUACCAACUGGAUGAGCAGCGAACGGGUGAGUAACGCGUGGGGAAUCUGCCUUUGAGCGGGGGACAACAUUUGGAAACGAAUGCUAAUACCGCAUAAAAACUUUAAACACAAGUUUUAAGUUUGAAAGAUGCAAUUGCAUCACUCAAAGAUGAUCCCGCGUUGUAUUAGCUAGUUGGUGAGGUAAAGGCUCACCAAGGCGAUGAUACAUAGCCGACCUGAGAGGGUGAUCGGCCACAUUGGGACUGAGACACGGCCCAAACUCCUACGGGAGGCAGCAGUAGGGAAUCUUCGGCAAUGGACGAAAGUCUGACCGAGCAACGCCGCGUGAGUGAAGAAGGUUUUCGGAUCGUAAAACUCUGUUGGUAGAGAAGAACGUUGGUGAGAGUGGAAAGCUCAUCAAGUGACGGUAACUACCCAGAAAGGGACGGCUAACUACGUGCCAGCAGCCGCGGUAAUACGUAGGUCCCGAGCGUUGUCCGGAUUUAUUGGGCGUAAAGCGAGCGCAGGUGGUUUAUUAAGUCUGGUGUAAAAGGCAGUGGCUCAACCAUUGUAUGCAUUGGAAACUGGUAGACUUGAGUGCAGGAGAGGAGAGUGGAAUUCCAUGUGUAGCGGUGAAAUGCGUAGAUAUAUGGAGGAACACCGGUGGCGAAAGCGGCUCUCUGGCCUGUAACUGACACUGAGGCUCGAAAGCGUGGGGAGCAAACAGGAUUAGAUACCCUG